This 75-nucleotide transfer RNA is filed under the name Elusimicrobiota bacterium. RNAcentral's name for it is "Elusimicrobia bacterium tRNA-Glu". It matches the Rfam family "tRNA". From Rfam's summary of the family: Transfer RNA (tRNA) molecules are approximately 80 nucleotides in length. Their secondary structure includes four short double-helical elements and three loops (D, anti-codon, and T loops). Lineage: Bacteria; Pseudomonadati; Elusimicrobiota. The record is from RNAcentral.
GCCUCCAUCGUCUAACGGUUAGGACGCGGCCCUUUCAAGGCUGAAACAGGGGUUCGAUUCCCCUUGGGGGCACCA